RNAcentral lists this long non-coding RNA (3486 nucleotides) under Pelobates cultripes (western spadefoot toad). Lineage: Eukaryota; Metazoa; Chordata; Amphibia; Anura; Pelobatidae. The record is from RNAcentral.
CAUAUUUUAAUUCCUUUUAAUUGGUCACAAUAUAUUAACAACUGAUCUCUUCAUAUGGAGCGUUAAUUUGGUAUUAAACCUGUACACAAAGCAGGUUAUGCCGGUUAAUAUUGUGUGUGUGCCAGAGGACAUGGGGAGUCUGAGGGCCUGUCAUCCCCUCCCGGUGGCUGUCAGAAUAACCAGGACAUGGGGAGUCUGAGGGCCUGUCAUCCCCUCCCGGUGGCUGUCAGAAUAACCAGGACAUGGGGAGUCUGAGGGCCUGUCAUCCCCUCCCGGUGGCUGUCAGAAUAACCAGGACAUGGGGAGUCUGAGGAUCUGUUCUCCCCCAGGGCUGUCAGAAUAACCAGGACAUGGGGAGCCUGAGGGCCUGUCAGAAUAACCAAGACAUGGGGAGUCUGAGGACCUGUCUUCCCCGGGGGCUGUCAGAAUAACCAGGACAUGGGGAGCCUGAGGGCCUGUCAGAAUAACCAAGACAUGGGGAGUCUGAGGACCUGUCUUCCCCGGGGGCUGUCAGAAUAACCAAGACAUGGGGAGUCUGAGGACCUGUCUUCCCCGGGGGGCGGGGGCUGUCAGAAUAACCAGGACAUGGGGAGUCUGAGGGCCUAUCAGAAUAGCCAGGACAUGGGAGGCCUGAGGGCCUGUCAGAAUAACCAGGACGUGCGGAGACUGAGGGCCUGUCCUCCCCCAGGGUUGUCAGAAUAACCAGGACAUGGGAAGCCUGAGGGCCUGUCAGAAUAACCAGGACAUGGGGAGCCUGAGAACCUAUCAGAAUAACCAGGACAUGGGAUGCCUGAGGGCCUGUCAGAAUAACCAGGACGUGCGGAUACUGAGGGCCUGUCCUCCCCCAGGGUUGUCAGAAUAACCAGGACAUGGGAAGCCUGAGGGCCUGUCAGAAUAACCAGGACGUGCGGAGACUGAGGGCCUGUCAGAAUAACCAGGACGUGCGGAGACUGAGGGCCUGUCCUCCCCCAGGGCUUUCAGAAUAACCAGGACAUGGGGAGCCUGAGGGCCUGUCGUCCCCCAGACUGUCAGAAUAACCAGGACGUGGGGAGCCUGAGGGCCUGUCCUUCCCCAGGGCUGUCAGAAUAACCAGGACAAGGGGAGCCUGAGGGCCUGUCCUCCCCCAGGGUUGUCAGAAUAGCCAGGAUAUGGGGAACCUGAGGGCCUGUCCUCCCCCGGGGCUGUCAGGAUAACCAGGACAUAGGGAGCCUGAGCCUGUCCUCCCCUGGGGCUGUCAGAAUAACCAGGACAUGGGGAGUCUGAGGGUCUUUCCUCCCCCGGGGCAGUCAGAAUAACCAGGACAUGGGGAGCCUGAGGGCAUGUCCUCCCCCAGGGCUGUCAGAAUAACCAGGACAUGGGGAGCCUGAGGGUCUUUCCUCCCCCGGGGCUGUCAGAAUAACCAGGACAUGGGGAGACUGAGGGCCUGUCAGAAUAACAAGGACAUGGGGAGUCUGAGGGUCUGUCCUCCCCCAGGGCUGUCAGAAUAACCAAGACAUGGGGAGUCUUAGGGUCUGUCAGAAUAACCAGGACAUGGGAAGCCUGAGGGCCUCUCCUCCCCGUGAGCUGACAGAAUAACCAGGACAUGGAAAGGCUGAGGGUCUGUCCUCCCCCGGGGCUGUCAGAAUAAGCAGGACAUGAGGCGUCUGAGGGCCUGUCCUCCCCUGGGGCUGUCAGAAUAACCAGGACAUGGGAAGCCUGAGGGCCUGUCCUCCCCGUGGGCUGACAGAAUAACAAGGACAGGGGGAGCCUGGUGGUCUAUCAUUCUUGCACCCCCUAGACACCAUCCAUUACAACAAACACUUUUUUCCAUAGUUUUCAAUUAGUUGUGGCUAGCACUUGCCACCAGUCCACCCUUCUUACUGCCAUGGAAAGGAUGUGUCUGAUUGCCCCAGUAAACUAAAUCCCCAUUUUACAUGCACCCGAGCAAUCACCCCUUAGGGCAAGCUAUAAAGAGGUAAAAUACCUGUCUGUUCAUGGUUCAACCUGUGAUACGGUCCUGGGGUGUCUAAAGUGUGAUAGAAGCCGCCCCCUGCUUACAGGGUCUAUAGAGCUAUCGGCCACCUUCAAUGAUGAGGCGUAUGGUAUUCUCUGUAGGCCCAGCCUUUAAUCCAUAUGAGUAGAAUCAGUCUUAUCGUCUUAGUGAGCUGUCAUAUAAAAUGCUCCCAAGCAGGCAUUACCCACAUGGCUAGUUAUAUUUACGCUGUCUACAUUUACCCCUAUAAGUCCAAAGACUACUUGACAGAGUUAUGCCUUGCUAGGAAGGACCGCCAUCUGAUCCCCAAAGCAGCGUUAGAGUAGUGUGCAGCUGGUGAAGGCUUCCUAGUGUGUGAAGUUGAGUGAAUACCCCUUGGCCCAAGCUGCCUUAGAAUGAUGGGGGAAAAAUAAAAGUGGUGAAAAUACCAGAAUAGCUGUCAAUCCCUGUCUAAUAAGAUACGUCAGAGCUGGGCUGAGAGAGAGAAUGAUUAUAAUAAUCCUCUAUUUUGGAUAAAAUUAGGUCAGAUCAGCAAAACUCAACAGUUUCAUAUUAAAUAAACAGAAAUUGUACUUUCCAGACACAUAUCACGCUAGAUUGACAGAACCCAGGGGGUCACAGCCUCUUGUUCCAGAGAUGGCACAUACAGCCAGGGGCUAGUUAACGUUUCUUUUAAAGAGCUAUAGUAUAUUGUUAGAAAAGUUACUUCUUUGGGGAAUGUAGAUAAAUAAACCACACAGAUAUGUCUAUCUAGAAUAAUACAUAUACUGAUAAUGUGUUAAAUUAGGCUUCUCUUACAGUUUAAUCACAAACAUGGAAAUAUUGCAUUAAACCAUCCAAAUAAAAAAUAGUAUUCUAUGUUUUAAGAUAUAAAACAAACUUACAACAUGUGUGCAUUACUUUCUGUGUGUUCUGCAUUCCACCCUUGGUCCCUGAAUGUACCUCCUGUCCUUCCCGUGGUAAUGUUCUUCCACAGAAUGCUAUUAAAAUCUGUGACCCAAGUCUAAAACUUCUCUUCCAAUCAUGGAAAAAAGACAAGAGUAAGGAUAUGACUAAGGAGAGGUUAAUUAAACUUAUAUACACCUCUAGGGCCUUGACCUUCAGAACGUGGUUUCUGCAAUCAGAAUGAUUGACAUUGUCAUUAAAGGGACACUCCACUGCCCCCCCCAAAAAAAACAAACCCUAAAUAAAUCACUGUUUAGUAUACAUAACCUCAAUGAAACUACACAUGCAUUCUUUCAUUGGGGGUAAAUCUAAAAACAAGCAAGAUACAAAGAGGAGGAUGCGACACCUGGUGUUAAAAAGUGGAAUACUAAGGGAGUGAAAUGGUAAGACUUAACUUUUAAUAAAUAAAAUGAAAAAGUCCAAAAAGAACUAGACCAAAAACUAACCAUAAAACAAGACAAAUAGUACUAUAGACAAAAAUAAUAACAAAAGAUACAAAACAUCUAUUUAAAAACAGCUGGAGCUGUUCCACUAAUGACAAUGGUGUGAUAGGUACCACAGGUGAAUUC